UUUUUAUGAAGUCUCCCGCUCAGGCUCUCCAAGAACAGGGAGAAGUUAAAGGCUUGAGUUGGGAAACCAGUUCUCCCACUUCAUUAAUAAUGAUGUCGAUGUUCCUGGCAGUGUUUAUACCAAAUGCUACUUUGACCUUUGCGCCUUGGCACACGACAGUAGCCUAUAUUUGCCAUUUUGUCUUCUUGACAUAGAAAGAGCAUGGGAACUGAAGGUUGUUUCAAGGUUGGAAGACAAAGACUUCUAUGGUACUGCCAACAAAAGGAAAAGGUCUUUGAGUUCUGAUGAUUUAAUUGAUCUUCAGUGCCUUAAGGCCAUCCUCUCCUGAAGGAAGAAGUGAGGGGUUAUAUAACAUCUGAACCCCUCAUCAAAAAAGACAGGAAAAUAUCACCUUUCCUGCUGAAGAACUAGAAAAGUACUUUCAAAAGAAGAAACACCUACAAUUCAAGUUAACUCAAGGACAACUAGGAUUGCACUUCAUAGAAAAGAAUGGGACCUUGUCAAUGCAACAACACACUCUUACACUCUUCUGUCCCUUUUAAUGUAAAGAGAGUUAUAAAAACCACUCCAAAGUGAAGGCUCCUAUGUGAGCUGAUAGCAGUGAACUAUGUAAGGGUUUAAAACAAUGGUUUAAAUUUUUAGAUUUUAAAGAUAACUUUUCUGUUUCUUUUAUAUUUUUCUUUCCCCCAAUAUUGCUGCAUAUGCAUUUAGCAUCAUAUUACCAUUAAAACAUAGGACUCUUAACAACUCAUAAAGCCACUAGGAGCAGAUGCAGCAUUGUCAGGUACUGAAGGGGCUCUUCCUUCCUACUCUUAGAAUCGAAGCUACUAGUUACUGGCAAUCAUUUUAAGCAAAAGCUUCUGGAUAACAUUUGCCAUUCAUAUCCUCUGUAAGCACUUCUUAUUAGCAGUUAGCAUGUUUGGGGUCAUAAAAAGAGAAAAUAUUGGUUAUUGAUUAUCUACUUUUAUUAGGGUCUGUGGUGUAUUUCUUGUGAACUAUAAUGGUUCUCAUUUGCUGAUAAAUUUUCUUAUUUUUUAAAUAAAGGUAUUAAAAGAUGUUUUCAUAGUGCCAAGCAACAUGGUGAUCCAGUGGUAAUAAAAAAUGAUAAAACAUGAGGUGUCCUGAAAGUUUCAGGACAGUUUUUAGCUUUAACAUAGUAUGCUUGUGCCCUCCAGAGCACUGAAGCAUACAUAUGCAGGCUAUAAACCUUUACAAAAUAUAAUUUGAAAUUUUAAUUGUAUUUCUUCUUUUUUUUUUUAAAUAGAUGUUGUCUCAGUAUGUUACCCAAUGUACAGUGCAAUGAUUAUUCAGAGGCACAGUCAUAGCAUACCACAGCCUGGAAAUCCUGGCCUCAAGCAAUCCUCCCAUGUCAGCCUACCAAGCAGCUGGGACUAUAGGUGUGUACCACCACCUCUGGCUUCAUUUUGCAGAAUUUGAAUAUUAAGCAUUUAACUUUUUGUCUCAUCAAUAUCUGCUAUCGUCAAGAAGGACUGAAACAAAAAAUUAAAGGUUAAUAUUCAGGAGCUAGGCAUGCCUGUAGUCCCAGCUACUCAUAAGGCUUAAAUGGCAGGAUCACUUGAGGCCUAGCAUUGGAGGCUGCAGUGCGCUGUGAUUGUGCCUGGAAAUAGCCAUUGCACUCCAGCCUUGGCAACAUACUGAGACCCUGUCACUCUAAAAAAUGGCAAAACUAAAUAAAGGUAAAAGAAAUAUAACAAACCUUUCAGUGAUGCUUUGUAAAUAUUUGUAGCAUUGAUACUUCUACAAGUAUCAAAGCUUAAAAUUACACUAAGCCUUUUGGAAUUGUUGUAUUUUUAUAAAGUGCCCUUUUCUCUUUUGAAGUAGUUCUUUGCAGGGCUUUCAUCUGCAUUGAUCACCCAAAAUUAUUUUCUCUAGAUGUGAUACAGAAUAGGAUCAGUUUUAAUGCACAUGUAACAAAUUUGAAGGAACUGGACCUUAAUAGUAGUAGAUGAUCUAAUACAUUUUAUUAUCCCGCAUGUUAACCUGGAGGCAGGUAUCAUAUUUUAUGUCCAUAAACCUUAGGAACCUUACCUCCUAAAAAAAUUAUCAUUUAUGGAGUGCAGAGCUUAGAGAUUGAAGUAUUGACUGCAGUUUUAUUUUCAAAAGGUAAAUGCUACAAUUUAUGUGGUUUUUAUUUCUCAUGUUUACAUUAAAAGAAAACCUAAUAAACUUUUAAUUAAAAUGUGACUAGUGGGCCGAGCACAGUGGCUCACACCUGUAAUCCUAGCACUUUGGGAGGCCAAGGCAGGUAGUUCAGAAGGUCGGGAGUUCAAGACCAGCCUGGUCAACGUGGUGAAACCUCAUCUCUACUAAAAAUACAGAAAUUAGCUGGGUGUGGUGGCACACACCUGUAAUCCCAGCUACUUUGGAGGCUGAGGCAGGAGAAUUGCUUGAACCUGAGGGGCGGAGGUUGCAGUGAGCCAAGAUCGCGCCACUGCACUCCAGCCUGGGCGACAGAGUGAGACUCUGUCUCAAAAAAAAAAAAAAUUGUGACUAGUAUGUUUUUAACUCUUCUAUUCACAUAGUGUUACAUCUCUGCGUAACUUAAAUGAUUCAAGUCAGUCUUGAUAUGUCUUAAAGCAUUUUUAUAAGUUGCCUGGACUAUUCACAAAUUGGUUUAAUCCAUGCCUCUAUGUAAGACAUAAUAUUUGUUUUUUCUGGCUUAAGCUCUUUUCAAUUUUAAGAUAAUUUAUUACACUUAAAAUCACUCUCUGGCCACAAUACUUAGUGGCAUAGCGUAUUAGAUGGCAUCUUUGAAUAGUUGGUUAUUGUGUCUGAGAGGAAAAAGCAUGUUAGAAUAUAAAAUUAGGUCAAUACACCAAAGAGAAAGGAUUCCCAGGAAUAGUGUAGAAUUAGAACAAGGGUGUUUGAGGUUUUCAAACAGUUACACAGAAAAAAAGUGGAAGUACAGAAAGUAGAAUUAAAGUUGUUGUACAGAGGGUGGCUCAGACCACAUAAUUUGACUUUAGCACACUGCUUUCAAGCUUACCUUUUAGUUAAAAAUAUAUCAAAUCACUGUUAGUUUUUUUUUUUUAGAACUAAGAGUCUAGCCACUUAGCUUCAGUGAUUCUCACUAAAUCCUAAUAAUAUUGGUAUAUUUUCAUCUACUUUAAUUCUUUAGUACCUAAGGUAAAAUCUUUAAAUAACUCAUCACCUCAUCUUGAUAAACUGCAGACUAGAAUCAGUGAUCUGAUUUAGAAGAAAAAGUCUAUCAUGAAUCCCUGUUUAUAAGAUGCUUUGCACCAUGUAAUAUGCAAUAACUAAGUAGAGAUCCUGACAUACAUGAGUGGUCAAAGGUUUAAAAAACUAGUUUGGGAGAGGGGCACUGGACAUAAAUCCAUGACUUCAAGAGUAAGUCAGGGCCAGGUGUGGUGGCUCAUGCCUGUAAUGCCAGCACUUUGGGAGGGUGAGGUGGGCAGAUUACUUGAGUCCAGCAGUUCAACACCAGCCUGGCCAAGGUAGCAAAACCCCAUCUCUACUAAAAAUACAAAAAUUAGCCAAGCUUGGUGGCAUCUGCCGAUGUUCCUAGCUCCUUGGGAGGCUGAUUCAUGAAAGUCGCUUGAGCCUGGGAGGCAGACGUUGCAGUGAGCAGUGAGCAUGCCUGCGCUCCACCCUGGGUGACAGAGCGAGACCUUGUCUCACACACACACACAAAAGAGUAAGUCAGUAGAAUAAGGACCACUAACAUUGCUCUCCCCUUUGGCUUGAAUUCUAGAAGGCAAUACAGUCAUUUUGAUACAUGGAAAAUUGGGUCAAUUUAGAAUAAGAAUAUAAACGUGACUGAAAGUGGGCAGGUUCUCUGACAAAUGUUUGGGGUAUGGAAACUAAGUUUCUAGUAGGGUGGUAACUAUGGCAGUUUUCUUAGAGUUUGAUAUCUGGGAAAGAUUUGUUGUCUAACACAAGACUAUGAAAAAGAUUAUCUGACUACCAAAGCUCAAAUUUACUUUCAUUUUUAGGGUUAUUUCCACUUUUGUAAUACAGACACCAGUGAAAUUUUUAACUCUGGUAUUGUGUGAACUAAAACUUUUACCUCUUCAUUACAAGGAAAAGACAAUAGAUCACUACCCAUCAAUACAAAAGAACAAGCUACUAAAACAUGGAUGACCUGGACCUGUGACGGACUAAAUGGCACUGUGUUUGACUCGUGGAUCUGACACAAACUAAGUGGGUCUGGAUAAUUCAUGGACACUCUGAGGUCCAAUCUCUUAAUGGUUUCAAAUGAGUCACAAGUAGAUGACCAUAAACACCUUUCGUGAACCAUCACGGUGGAAUUCUGUGAGGUUAAGAUAUCAAGACUAGCGUGACUAGUGUCACGUGGUUAUGGACAGGUGUGAGAGCAGUGCAGUGUCUUUCAAGAGUGGGAGUUGUUUAGAGAUGGAGGAAACAGGAUUUCCACCCUCUGCCUGCUUACCUCUUACCCCUAGACCUCCCCACAAGCUCUCCUUUGAAGUGGCCUCCUGUCUCCCCUUGGUCUUCUCAAAGCUGGUCCAGGCAUUCCACUGUCACAGACUCUAGUGGUUUCUGGAGAUAAUGACAUCACCAGAUCCAGCUCAUUCUGGCGGGUGGAUCAAGCACUGUUUCUGGCUAUGCUCCGUCCUGUCUGGGCUUUUCUGCCUCUGCUGGGAAGCUCUGGAGAGUGGUAAGGUCAGAGGGGUGUUCUCUUUCUAGGAAAGAUUCCUGUUCCCAGUGGCCCCCUGCUUCCUAAUUCACAAGAGCUGCUUUGCUCUACAGUGAAAUUAUUUCUUGGGAGCUGGGACCAGGGCCUGGGAAACAAAUUUUAGGGACACAAACCUGGCCCUCUGGAAUUCAAUACAUUGGACUGAAAACAUAGACAGCUUGGUAGUGCCAGAGUGGCUAGGCGCCUUCGUGUGACCCAACGGAUCUGACCAGACACUACCAGAAAGCCUAAAAUAUAUCUGACACAAGGUAAGGUUCUACCCACAUUCACUUCCCAUUAUUUCCCUGUGUAUUUUGGGUCAUGUCACUUUGCUCAGUGCUGUAAAGACCGCAGGGCUGGUUUUAGGCAGGUGUGAUAUUCGACAGCACCUGAGACCGGAAAUAAAUCACACCUGCCCUUGAACCUAAAUUUCCUCACUGCUAGCUUGUGACGUGGGCGCACUGUUCCUCCAACCUGAACCUCGGUUGUUAUUUUUAAUGCAGACGGUUAUGCCGGCCUCAUAGAGUACUUGUGAGGUUUAGGUGAGUCAUCCAAUGAAAAGAACAAAGUGUCUUCUAAAUACAAUAGCAGCUGUCACUUACUCAGGGUUUAGUAACUGCACUUGGCUGUUUGCUUUACAGCCAAGUGUAUGAUUUACCUAAGUUUCAAAACAACGCCAUGAAGCAGGCAUUAACACCCUCAUUUUCAGCUCGGGGUCUUGCCACAGACACAGCGCCCACGAGUUCUGGCACUUUGGUCAACGUUUAUAAACGGGCUCUCCUCUGCCGCCGCGGGCAUGCGCUUUCCCCAAGGUUCGCACUGAACACCUGUUCCUAAAGGGGGCGCAGCUCCACCUGCGUCCCCGGGACCUCUAGCGUGAGGGGGUCGAUCCUGGGGUCCCCCCGGGCUUCCCGUUCUCACCCUCUGAAUCACAAGCCCCAUUCUCACUAGAAGUUGACAGGCUGUGGGGAGACCUGGUUUCCCCGCGUCCCACUUCAGGUGAGCACCUUCCCCGCCCGCGACACCCAAGGGCCCCGGGACCACCUCUCAGCCUUAGCUAGGCGUGAAGCAGCGAGCUAAGCUUGCACAUGCGCAGACGUCAUCCAGAAGACCCUUUCCUAGAGUGUGGCGCGCGAGCCAUUCGGAUUUAAGACUACGUUUCCCAGAAACCUCCACGCCACGACUUACUUCGCAGCGUUUUCUCUAUUGGAUGAUUGGAAGAUGUUCCUGACUGCCUCGCCUGGCCAGGUUCUGCCAGAGCCCCUAGAGGUUAUGGGUUAAAUUUGAACUUUGCUGCCGAAUACGGUGCGUGGUCCUCCAUCAAAUCCCGAUUGGAAAAAACAGCUGCCAAACACGUUGGAAA
RNAcentral lists this long non-coding RNA (6038 nucleotides) under Homo sapiens (human). Its description in RNAcentral is "HSALNT0152690". The record is from RNAcentral. Lineage: Eukaryota; Metazoa; Chordata; Mammalia; Primates; Hominidae.